This 198-nucleotide non-coding RNA is filed under the name Hyphomicrobiales bacterium. The record is from RNAcentral. Lineage: Bacteria; Pseudomonadati; Pseudomonadota; Alphaproteobacteria; Hyphomicrobiales.
AUACAGCAAUCGAUUGAUGGUGCCUCGGAGACGAGGUGAAAAGGGAAUGCGGUGCGGGCUUUCGGGCCCCAUGCCGCAGCUGCCCCCGCAACUGUAAGCGGUGAGCGCCGGACCGAUUGGCCACUGGGUUAUUCCCGGGAAGGCGGUCCGCGCAUCGACCCGCGAGCCAGGAGACCUGCCAUCGUCCACACGAUUGCU